UAUCCUGUCUGAAUAUGGGGGGACCAUCCUCCAAGGCUAAAUACUCCUGACUGACCGAUAGUGAACCAGUACCGUGAGGGAAAGGCGAAAAGAACCCCGGCGAGGGGAGUGAAAAAGAACCUGAAACCGUGUACGUACAAGCAGUGGGAGCACCCUUUGGGGUGUGACUGCGUACCUUUUGUAUAAUGGGUCAGCGACUUAUAUUCUGUAGCAAGGUUAACCGAAUAGGGGAGCCGGAGGGAAACCGAGUCUUAACCGGGCGUUAAGUUGCAGGGUAUAGACCCGAAACCCGGUGAUCUAGCCAUGGGCAGGUUGAAGGUUGGGUAACACUAACUGGAGGACCGAACCGACUAAUGUUGAAAAAUUAGCGGAUGACCUGUGGCUGGGGGUGAAAGGCCAAUCAAACCGGGAGAUAGCUGGUUCUCCCCGAAAGCUAUUUAGGUAGCGCCUCGUGAAUUCAUCUCCGGGGGUAGAGCACUGUUUCGGCUAGGGGGCCAUCCCGGCUUACCAACCCGAUGCAAACUGCGAAUACCGGAGAAUGUUAUCACGGGAGACACACGGCGGGUGCUAACGUCCGUCGUGAAGAGGGAAACAACCCAGACCGCCAGCUAAGGUCCCAAAGUCAUGGUUAAGUGGGAAACGAUGUGGGAAGGCCCAGACAGCCAGGAUGUUGGCUUAGAAGCAGCCAUCAUUUAAAGAAAGCGUAAUAGCUCACUGGUCGAGUCGGCCUGCGCGGAAGAUGUAACGGGGCUAAACCAUG
This 760-nucleotide ribosomal RNA is filed under the name Salmonella enterica subsp. enterica serovar Roodepoort. RNAcentral describes it as "partial 23S ribosomal RNA". It matches the Rfam family "Bacterial large subunit ribosomal RNA", at positions 430 to 1191 of the family's 2925-position model. Lineage: Bacteria; Pseudomonadati; Pseudomonadota; Gammaproteobacteria; Enterobacterales; Enterobacteriaceae. The record is from RNAcentral.